Molecule: ribosomal RNA, 456 nt
Filed under: uncultured bacterium
Lineage: Bacteria
Description: bacterial SSU rRNA
Rfam family: Bacterial small subunit ribosomal RNA
Source: RNAcentral
GCACAAGCGGUGGAGCAUGUGGAUUAAUUCGAUGCAACGCGAAGAACCUUACCUGGGUUUGACAUGCACAGGACGCUGGUAGAGAUAUCAGUUCCCUUGUGGUCUGUGUGCAGGUGGUGCAUGGCUGUCGUCAGCUCGUGUCGUGAGAUGUUGGGUUAAGUCCCGCAACGAGCGCAACCCUUGUCUCAUGUUGCCAGCGCGUUAUGGCGGGGACUCGUGAGAGACUGCCGGGGUCAACUCGGAGGAAGGUGGGGAUGACGUCAAGUCAUCAUGCCCCUUAUGUCCAGGGCUUCACACAUGCUACAAUGGCCGGUACAAAGGGCUGCGAUGCCGUGAGGCUUAGCGAAUCCUUUAAAGCCGGUCUCAGUUCGGAUCGGGGUCUGCAACUCGACCCCGUGAAGUCGGAGUCGCUAGUAAUCGCAGAUCAGCAACGCUGCGGUGAAUACGUUCCCGGGC